This is a non-coding RNA of Bombyx mori (domestic silkworm), 73 nucleotides long. The record is from RefSeq and is marked provisional. NCBI's taxonomy places the organism in Eukaryota, Metazoa, Arthropoda, Insecta, Lepidoptera, Bombycidae.
AUAUGGAAUUAGAGGUUUAUGAACAUGAUGAGUUUACGAUACUCAUCAUGUUCAUAAACCUCUAAUUCCAAAC